This 1202-nucleotide ribosomal RNA is filed under the name Leuconostoc mesenteroides. Its description in RNAcentral is "bacterial SSU rRNA". It matches the Rfam family "Bacterial small subunit ribosomal RNA", at positions 46 to 1226 of the family's 1533-position model. The record is from RNAcentral. Lineage: Bacteria; Bacillati; Bacillota; Bacilli; Lactobacillales; Lactobacillaceae.
GCCAAAUACAUGCAAGUCGAACGCACAGCGAAAGGUGCUUGCACACUUUCAAGUGAGUGGCGAACGGGUGAGUAACACGUGGACAACCUGCCUCAAGGCUGGGGAUAACAUUUGGAAACAGAUGCUAAUACCGAAUAAAACUUAGUGUCGCAUGACACAAAGUUAAAAGGCGCUUCGGCGUCACCUAGAGAUGGAUCCGCGGUGCAUUAGUUAGUUGGUGGGGUAAAGGCCUACCAAGACAAUGAUGCAUAGCCGAGUUGAGAGACUGAUCGGCCACAUUGGGACUGAGACACGGCCCAAACUCCUACGGGAGGCUGCAGUAGGGAAUCUUCCACAAUGGGCGAAAGCCUGAUGGAGCAACGCCGCGUGUGUGAUGAAGGCUUUCGGGUCGUAAAGCACUGUUGUAUGGGAAGAACAGCUAGAAUAGGAAAUGAUUUUAGUUUGACGGUACCAUACCAGAAAGGGACGGCUAAAUACGUGCCAGCAGCCGCGGUAAUACGUAUGUCCCGAGCGUUAUCCGGAUUUAUUGGGCGUAAAGCGAGCGCAGACGGUUUAUUAAGUCUGAUGUGAAAGCCCGGAGCUCAACUCCGGAAUGGCAUUGGAAACUGGUUAACUUGAGUGCAGUAGAGGUAAGUGGAACUCCAUGUGUAGCGGUGGAAUGCGUAGAUAUAUGGAAGAACACCAGUGGCGAAGGCGGCUUACUGGACUGCAACUGACGUUGAGGCUCGAAAGUGUGGGUAGCAAACAGGAUUAGAUACCCUGGUAGUCCACACCGUAAACGAUGAACACUAGGUGUUAGGAGGUUUCCGCCUCUUAGUGCCGAAGCUAACGCAUUAAGUGUUCCGCCUGGGGAGUACGACCGCAAGGUUGAAACUCAAAGGAAUUGACGGGGACCCGCACAAGCGGUGGAGCAUGUGGUUUAAUUCGAAGCAACGCGAAGAACCUUACCAGGUCUUGACAUCCUUUGAAGCUUUUAGAGAUAGAAGUGUUCUCUUCGGAGACAAAGUGACAGGUGGUGCAUGGUCGUCGUCAGCUCGUGUCGUGAGAUGUUGGGUUAAGUCCCGCAACGAGCGCAACCCUUAUUGUUAGUUGCCAGCAUUCAGAUGGGCACUCUAGCGAGACUGCCGGUGACAAACCGGAAGGAAGGCGGGGACCAACGUCAGAUCAUCAUGCCCCUUAUGAACCUGGGCUAACCACGUGCU